AUUGAACGCUGGCGGCAGGCCUAACACAUGCAAGUCGAACGAGUGGCGGACGGGUGAGUAAUGUCUGGGAAACUGCCCGAUGGAGGGGGAUAACUACUGGAAACGGUAGCUAAUACCGCAUACCAUCGGAUGUGCCCAGAUGGGAUUAGCUAGUAGGUGGGUUAACGGCUCACCUAGGCGACGCUCCCUAGCUGGGCUGAGAGGAUGACCAUCCAAACGGGAACGGAGACACGGUCCAGACUCCUACGGGAGGCAGCAGUGGGGAAUAUUGCACAAUGGGCGCAAGCCUGAUGCAGCCAGGCCGCGUGUAUGAAGAAGGCCUGCGGGUUGUAAAGUACUUGCAGCGAGGAGGCGUGACUCGCAGAAGAAGCACCGGCUAACUCCGUGCCAGCAGCCGCGGUAAUAG
RNAcentral lists this ribosomal RNA (406 nucleotides) under uncultured bacterium. RNAcentral describes it as "partial 16S ribosomal RNA". It matches the Rfam family "Bacterial small subunit ribosomal RNA", at positions 29 to 526 of the family's 1533-position model. The record is from RNAcentral.